Long non-coding RNA from Oncorhynchus keta (chum salmon), 1048 nucleotides. RefSeq lists it as uncharacterized. NCBI's taxonomy places the organism in Eukaryota, Metazoa, Chordata, Actinopteri, Salmoniformes, Salmonidae. The transcript has 4 exons. The record is from RefSeq and is a predicted model, not a curated record.
GAUCUAGUCUUUAGAUGUCUUUAUAACCAGGUCUAGUCUUUAGAUGUCUUUAUAACCAGGUCUAGUCUUUAGAUGUCUUUAUAACCAGGUCUAGUCUUUAGAUGUCUUUAUAACCAGGUCUAGUCUUUAGAUGUCUUUAUAACCAGGUCUAGUCUUUAGAUGUCUUUAUAACCAGGUCUAGUCUUUAGAUGUCUUUAUAACCAGGUCUAGUCUUUAGAUGUCUUUAUAACCAGGUCUAGUCUUUAGAUGUCUUUAUAACCAGGUCUAGUCUUUAGAUGUCUUUAUAACCAGGUCUAGUCUUUAGAUGUCUUUAUAACCAGGUCUAGUCUUUAGAUGUCUUUAUAACCAGGUCUAGUCUUUAGAUGUCUUUAUAACCAGGUCUAGUCUUUAGAUGUCUUUAUAACCAGGUCUAGUCUUUAGAUGUCUUUAUAACCAGGUCUAGUCUUUAGAUGUCUUUAUAACCAGGUCUAGUCUUUAGAUGUCUUUAUAACCAGGUCUAGUCUUUAGAUGUCUUUAUAACCAGGUCUAGUCUUUAGAUGUCUUUAUAACCAGGUCUAGUCUUUAGAUGUCUUUAUAACCAGGUCUAGUCUUUAGAUGUCUUUAUAACCAGGUCUAGUCUUUAGAUGUCUUUAUAACCAGGUCUAGUCUUUAGAUGUCUUUAUAACCAGGUCUAGUCUUUAGAUGUCUUUAUAACCAGGUCUAGUCUUUAGAUGUCUUUAUAACCAGGUCUAGUCUUUAGAUGUCUUUAUAACCAGGGCUAGUCUUUAGAUGUCUUUAUAACCAGGUCUAGUCUUUAGAUGUCUUUAUAACCAGGGCUAGUCUUUAGAUGUCUUUAUAACCAGGUCUAGUCUUUAGAUGUCUUUAUAACCAGGUCUAGUCUUUUAGAUGUCUUUAUAACCAGGGCUAGUCUUUAGAUGUCUUUAUAACCAGGUCUAGUCUUUUAGAUGUCUUUAUAACCAGGUCAAGUCUGGUAAUCAAGUAUGUAUUACAUUGGUGUAGUGCAAAGCUACAUUACAAUUCAAAUAGAACAUUGAUUAGAGUAUGGUAU